Molecule: ribosomal RNA, 439 nt
Filed under: uncultured bacterium
Lineage: Bacteria
Description: bacterial SSU rRNA
Rfam family: Bacterial small subunit ribosomal RNA
Source: RNAcentral
ACGCGAGGAACCUUACCAGGUCUUGACAUCCUCUGACAACCCUAGAGAUAGGGCGUUCCCCUUCGGGGGACAGAGUGACAGGUGGUGCAUGGUUGUCGUCAGCUCGUGUCGUGAGAUGUUGGGUUAAGUCCCGCAACGAGCGCAACCCUUGUCCUUAGUUGCCAGCAUUUAGUUGGGCACUCUAAGGAGACUGCCGGUGACAAACCGGAGGAAGGUGGGGAUGACGUCAAAUCAUCAUGCCCCUUAUGACCUGGGCUACACACGUGCUACAAUGGAUAGAACAAAGGGCAGCGAAGCCGCGAGGUCAAGCAAAUCCCAUAAAUCUAUUCUCAGUUCGGAUUGUAGGCUGCAACUCGCCUACAUGAAGCCGGAAUCGCUAGUAAUCGCGGAUCAGCAUGCCGCGGUGAAUACGUUCCCGGGCCUUGCACUCACCGCCCGU